AUACGGAGGGUGCAAGCGUUACUCGGAAUCACUGGGCGUAAAGCGCGCGCAGGCGGCCAUUUAAGUUGGAUGUGAAAGCCUACGGCUCAACCGUAGAACUGCAUCCAAAACUAUUUGGCUAGAGUGUGGGAGAGGAAGAUGGAAUUAGUUGUGUAGGGGUAAAAUCCGUAGAGAUAACUAGGAAUACCAAAAGCGAAGGCAAUCUUCUGGAACACUACUGACGCUGAGGCGCGAAGGCGUGGGGAGCAAACAGGAUUAGAAACCCCAGUAGUCC
This 274-nucleotide ribosomal RNA is filed under the name uncultured bacterium. RNAcentral's name for it is "partial 16S ribosomal RNA". It matches the Rfam family "Bacterial small subunit ribosomal RNA", at positions 523 to 796 of the family's 1533-position model. The record is from RNAcentral.